CAUUGAGCUAUAAAAUUUGAAUUUGUAUUUAAGGAUUCCAUGCACAAUUUGUUUCACCUAUUUAUUAGCGCGUUAAACCGGUAUUAGUGAUUGCGUGUUCGUUAGCGAUUACGAUAAAAAUACACAAAAUAUGUUGAAUAAAAAGAAUAACUAUAUAAUAAGAGCAAUAAUUAUGUGUACCAAGUUAGACCUGACAUCUUACGGAAUUUCUACGUAGUAUCGGUACUAGUGAAUGAAGUGAAAUGAGAUAUGCCUUGACACUUGCAAUUCAAUAAAGAAUAAAAAUCCAUUGACUAAAUGCAGGAUAAAUCUGACAUUAUUGUAUUGUAUUGUAUUGUACUGUAGUUAUUGAACAAAAUGAUAACAUCAGCCUCUAUGUGAUGGGUUUAUUGGUUAAGUACAGAGGUUAUGUACAGUUUAUCACAGACGAAGUACAGAAUGACAUGCAAUGCCUUUUCGUGUCCUACGUUUUAGGGAUCACUCUUUACCAUUUUCGUGUUACAUGCGACCUUAUUGAUUCAGUAUAGUAUUGGUUUGAAUUAAAAUUAAAGUCUUAUAUGGAAUUAUAAAUAAAACAUAGAACAUUUACAAUCCCAAGGAAGUAUGGAAUUUUAUACUCUUACAAUAUUUCAGUAAGUAUUACAAAUUAUCGAAAUAGUGAAAUAUUGUAUAUCUAUUACGUACAUUGCACUUAUACAUUACAUAAUAUUAAAAUAAUACAUAACUGUACGAUAAUAGUUAAAUAAUUUAAUCAAUUAAAACUUCCAAUUAAAUUAAAAAAUAGAAAUUACAUUAAUUUCACAUAUCUCAAACAUGUAAAUGUGAAUUUUCGAACCUUUUUAAUUUUCAUUUGUGUAUUCUCGAAUUGAUUAUUAAUUACAUAUUAUCAAGCAUAGCUAGUCUGACUCAGAAACUCGCAACAUAAUUUAUCGAUAAUCCAAACAGUUAAAUUACGUUCAAUGAAAGCAGUACUUAUUGAAAACAGUAAAAGAUAAAAAUGAAAAUAGAAAAAAGAUCACCGAAAUCUUGCUUCACAAAUAUAGUGAAACUAAGGCAUAAAACUAACUUCGCCACUUAAAAUUAAGACUUCAAAUUCAGGCUUAAGAGUAAGAUUGAAAAACUAAGAAUAAGAAUAAUAAUACUAAGAAUAAGAAUACUUGAAACAAUGAAUAAGUUCUCCGUUGUCCCUAAAGUUAACUCAAUCUAGAAUUACAACUAAAACCUACCUGAAAGUAUAGCUGAAUUAAAGGUAGAUAUUAGAUAGAUAUUAAUCUAAGGUACAUUAUUAUAUUCGAGAAAAAUUUUAAAACUAAAACUGUAAACAUUUUGUCAAAUCAAUUAUUCUAUUUAGUAAUUUAAUAUUUAAAAUUAUUAUAUGAAAAAGCUUUCAACUUUUCGUUCUAAGUUCAAAACAAUACAUUUUUGUAGAAAAGGUGCUCAAAAUAAACUUAGCCUAUAUGUAUUUAUCCUGAAAUCUCAAUUAAAAUUAAAACACGCGUAUCUCACGAUACCCAUGCGAUAUCCCGUCCCACGACGGGUGCUAAUAAUUUAUUAAGGUAUAUCUUUCUUAGAAUUAAUUGAAGCUAAGACGCACUCAUCUCACGAAGUCUUUGCGAUAUACAUUUGAAAAAGAAUUUUGGAUGGCUUAAACUAGACUAUAUUAGCGUAGUUCCUAGCUUGGUAUCAUUUUCCAAAGAUUAAUCAACUGAUUAAUUUUUAGAAAACGAUGCCAAUUACCAGGUCCCACCACGAGGAGGUAACUACGCAAGGGACUCGUCCAUGGGUUAUUUAACAUUACACAUCGAUCUCGACAUUCAACCUAUUGGCAAAAUGUCGAGUUCCAACUCUACUUGACCAUGGGCCUGCGUAAAGAAAUAGUUGCUUCGUAGCAUAACUGCGAAACACAUAUCUCCAACGCAGCGCUUACAUGAAUCUUUACAAACGAAGAACAAAGCAUACAUAACACAACAUCUA
Bombus terrestris (buff-tailed bumblebee) is the source of this 1974-nucleotide long non-coding RNA. RefSeq lists it as uncharacterized. The transcript is spliced from 2 exons. The record is from RefSeq and is a predicted model, not a curated record. NCBI's taxonomy places the organism in Eukaryota, Metazoa, Arthropoda, Insecta, Hymenoptera, Apidae.